Long non-coding RNA from Cyprinus carpio (common carp), 6848 nucleotides. RefSeq lists it as uncharacterized. The transcript is spliced from 7 exons. NCBI's taxonomy places the organism in Eukaryota, Metazoa, Chordata, Actinopteri, Cypriniformes, Cyprinidae. The record is from RefSeq and is a predicted model, not a curated record.
AACAUCACAAUAAUUAAUCAACAUGACUCCAGUCCAUCAAUUAACGUCUUGUGAAGUGAAAAGCUACAUCUUGGUAAUAAAUUCAAAUACAUUUUUAACUUCAAACCUCUAUCUAUAAUACUGCAAAGAAUCAGGAGAAUACUGUCUUGUCUGAAUCAGGAGAGAAAUAUACAGUACGGUGCAUAUCAAGCAUCGUUUACAAGCAAAAAACAAUUCUAGACAUUUCUAAACAAACAUGUUGGUGGAUUUUGAUGUGGACAACAGAGGAUGAACCUUUUCAUUAGAGGAAGCGUUUUAAUGAAUUAUUGAUAGGUGUUUUGUACGUAAGUGACCAGAAGAUAAAAUAACUUAUUGAUGGAUUUUUUUGUGAAUACUCUUGAAAGGUUUCACUUUUUGAAACCUUGUGAACUUUUCACUUUUUCACUUCACCUGAUGGUGAGUACAUCUUCAGCAGACUUUCAUUUUGGGAUGAACUAUUCCUUUAGGACAACUACAAGUACACUGUAAGAGAGAAAAUACAUAGAAAAAUUACUGAUAAAUUUCUGCCAGGACAUUAUCAGUUACGUUUACUGACAUUUCCUUUAACCCUAAUACAAAAUACAGGUGUAUUAUACAACACCUGUGAUCCUGACAAGCUUGACACAGCAACAUUAAGCUGGAUGUCAUGUUUCCACUGUGCAGUGCAGUUUUUGUAGGCGAUGAGAUACUCCAACGUAAGUUGACUCGAGGCCCUGACUUUCUCCUUAACGCCUCAGAAGACACUGAAUAUUUACACAAGACCUGCCACGCCACUUCGCUGUUAUACCCAUCUGGUGUAGGAGAUGGUGGGAGAGCGCGAUGCUUGUUUUUGAGUAUGAACGUUAAGUGCUGGGUAAUAUGACAGAUGUCUUGGCUCUGGUUUAUGUGCUAGGUCGACUUCCCUGGUAGAUACGGACCACACACUUGGACCUCCGAGCAUCCUGUUACUGUCAUUGAAUCAAGGAAAUAUGUUGUCAUUUCUGAAGUGCAGAGGAAAAACUGAGAUGGAUGCAGCUUAACAGACAUGGGAGAAUGUCACAGAAUUCUUAUAUAUUGUCUUUUUAGAUAAUGUCCAGUAUAUAUUUUUUCAGUUUAUUUUUUACUGCAAAUGUUUAGGUUUACAAACGUAAUGUAGGUAGUUUAGCAGUAGUUCUGUAAACUACAGUUAAAUUACAUUGUAAGGAAGUGGAGGGAUGGUUGUUUGGAUUUUUCUGUCUCCCGAUACUUCCUUUUUACUAGAAUUCUUGGGAUCUUUCUGAUAUUGUUCAGUUGUUUGUAGAGCUUUACCAGGUGAUAUUCCUGCCUGUUCUUGCUGUUGGAAUUUUGCUUCUGGGUUGUCUCCUCGCGUAUGGAAAAAAACUCCAUUCAGGUGUGAUAACAUCCAGAGAUUAACUUAGAGAGCACUUCAGAGUUCCUAGAAAUAAAGGCCAGCUUAGCCAUAAUCACACUGAUUUAUUAGUGGUUUGUGUUAAGGUUGUCAAAACCCCUGACCCUAAGCAGUGGCUCCAGACUAAAAAUGAUUAGGGAUUUGUUUGGCUCCUAUAAUAAACAUUGGCUUUUAAACAAAUUGCUUUAAUUUAGCAAAUGGCUUCUCUGGUUAAACAAUACAGAAUUGCCAAAUAAUUGUACUUUUUUUGUACAAUAUAAUUUAUUUAAAAAAAAAGAAGCUCUGUAAUGGUUUGUUUAGAAUCACAUAGCCAAAAAAUAACUUCUGGUUAGGUGUGGGAGGGAGUCCAUUUCGAGUAAUGCCUCUGAUUGAUUUAAGGCUGAGUGAGUUUGAUUCAAACUGAUAAUAAAAUCUGAAUAUUUUGGGGAUUUGUUUAAACGGUUCAUUAAAAGAGUAAUCAUUUGUUCAUAAACCAGACAUCACAACUCUUGUUGUAUUCAUUGUUGCAUGCAGUAAACACCAGCACACACACUAAAGAUGUAAUUUAAGAACACCACCUCAUGAGAUGAUAUCUAACAAAACCAUUAUAAUACCUUUAUAGAAUAUUUUUUAUAUCACUGUACAAAAAUGCUGUGAAAUCUAGAAAUUUCAUGAGUACAAAUGAUAACCAUAUAAUUUAGAAGAAGUCCUUUCCUGACACAUUACAUGUGACUAUGAUUUUUAUUUCUUAUUGUGCAUAAGGAAGGGUGUUUUGGGUUGCAUGAUAUUUAAGUUAUUUAGUUAAUGUUUACUGCAUUAUCUUAAUGUCAUAUGUGGUUACACUGAUGGUGUUUUGACCCUGAGCGCCCUAUUUUUUCCUGUAAAUUUUAACAGAAUAUUUUUUUGCAGUGUAAUUUUUAAUUUAUUGUUGCAAGUCUUAAGUUGCUAAGUCUCAUUUGACUUAUUGAAUUGAGAUGUACUGUUUUCUAAGACAAAUGCCAUAGGCCUUUAUUGAAAGAGGGGCUUGAGCCAUAUCUAAAGAAACACCUUAGCAACCCCAUAGCAACAUCCUGGCAAUGACCCAAAUCACACUAGUUUCAUAGCGCUGAGUUUUGCAUGUAAAAAUCUAGUUAAACUUGUUUGUCCUAUUGUAAUUAUAACUCUCUUGCUGUUUAAGAUUGACAGCGCUAAUGUUGACCCUCUUGAGGGAAUGCCAAGUGACUCACGCCGUAAUCAGCAAGUCAAGACCAUAGAUUUAAACGUUUAAAAUUCAACACCCAUAGAUCUAAAGAAUUCCCUCAGGCUCCGGAGACUGUUCUUCGACCUGCAAUGCUCUUACAAAGACAAAGAUGGAACUAGACGAAGGGGGGAGUUUUAUUGAGUGAGACUGCUUCUGCUGCCCUCUGUCUCUUAUUUUCUCUCUCUCUCUCUCUGUCUCUCUCUCUCUCUCUCUCUCUCCCCCUGCAUAAACAUCUGUGACUGGUUAAUGUUAGCCCCGGAGCUAAGUGCAGAGAAAGGGGGUCUGGUUCUCACAGCAGCGAUAGCAGUGGUAAAAGGGCAGGGAGGUGUGGUGGCGAACAGGCAACUGCUGCACAAACGCUCCUGGGCCGACUUCCCGACGCUAAUCAGAGAGUGAGGGUAGGAGAAAGCGCAGUUAGGGAGGGUGAAACUGAUAAGAGAAGGUAAAAGGGGAGCAUCUUGGGAACUGCAAGUGAUUUAGAGCAGAGCCAGGAAUCCAAAAAGCCGAAAGCAACCCAGUUUGCCUCAUGUGUUUUCUCAGCGUUUGGGAGUAGAAAAUAGCACGGCUAAGCUGUGGACUUCGGUCAGAGAGGCGGGGACUGAUUUGUGUGGGAAUUUUGCCGUGCUAGUGGAUCUUCACAUACUGCCCUUAGGCAGCCAGGACAAUGCCAGCUGGUUCUCUCCAGAGCACAGGAAGGUACAGGAAUGAGGGAAGUCGGCUCUCUGAUUAGAGAUGCAUUGUAGCUGAGGGUGAGGCAGUUUCAAGAAGCCAGAUACCAGAAGAUCCAUCCCAAACCGAGGAAGGACAUCACCCUGACUGCCCCGCUCUGUCUUGAAGGUGGGAAUGUAUGCAACGAAAUGACACGUCAACCUGAGAUGCAUUAUCAGGCAGCAAUACAGAGAGUUGCGUGUGUUUCCUGAGUGUGUUGUAGUGUGUUCCAGUCCUCCAGAGAAUUCUGCUCUUCCCAGUGGAAAUCUGAACCUGGAUGUGUGAGCCAAGCCAUUCAAAGUAUUUUUCUGGCUCUGGCGAGAUGAUAGAUCCAUUACCCAGUUCCACAGCAACAAAUAGAGCCAUUCUUCAGAAGAUUGCCAGGCAGGCUAAAGUCCAACCCCAACAACGGCAAGAUGAUCAAGCGGACAAAGCUGAGAAGGGGUCUGCUGAAGCAUAUCAUCCUGUCACCAUAUCGUCUAGCAGCUUUCUCACGGGUGAGUCAUUGGAGGAAGGGAAAGCCGUGUUGCCAUCUAAAUUAAGUAACAGUAAAGAGAUAACCGAACCACAUCUUGACACUACCGGUCCGAAGAGACGACCACGGACCCAAAGUAGCUCAGGAGAAGACGCUGACCGCCAAAAGACAAAAAGAUCUCGUCUUGGAGAGCCUGCAGCGUCAAGCUAUUCCAACAAUCCUUCUUCCGACGUUGCCACUCCAGACUCCGUUUGCAGUCCUCAGCCUGAGAUUUCACAGACUAACCAAAGCGGGCUGGCCGCAAGUUUGAGAGGCCUAUCCAUCAAGCCUUUAUCCUCUGGCUCCUCUAUUAGUUCCAGAUCUGUCGCCAAAAAGGGAAGGAAGGGGGGUGAACCCAGAACAUCCCGAUUACACCGGCUCAAGAAGUCCUAAGGGGCGCAGCGGCAUAGAACAAGAGAGGAUGUCUGACGCCACCAAGAUGUAUGUUACAGUACACACUUCUACUGUAAUACUGUCUGUCAGCGGCGGUUGCACAAGAGUUCACCACACACAGUCUCUGCAUAUACAGUACUUCCCUUCUCCCUUUAAAGUAAAAAACACAAAACUGCUCAAACGCUUGAAUUAGAUUACCAAGAAGCUCUCAAAUAUUUGAAUCGACUCCACUAGCAACAACUUAAAAGGAACUCAAGCAAACAGUAACUUUAAACACUCUAAACAAAAACACAAAUGCAGUUCGCGUUUUCGGUGUAAGAUUUGUAUUUCAGACUAGCGGGAGCCGUUGAGCACACUGUGGCUUCAAGCCCAAAUCUCUGGCUCCAUCCGUCUGAAAUCUGCACUCUUCCAGCUUGAGCUGAGCACAUGAUUGAUUUCGCUGUGUUCUCACAUACACCGCGCUCCUUAAGCGAUCAGGGGUUUUCACCGUUGGAGCCGACUGCCGUCUCCCUGCGGUUAUUAUUUGUAAAUGUGUUAUUGCUUUUCGUAACAGCUAUAAGUCUGCUGCAGGAUGACUGACAACGUUAUGGAACACUGAAGUGGUGCUCGCGUCCGAUAUUUGGCUAAUCACGGGUGGAGUUGACAUUGAUUUAGUGCGUGAUGGCAGGAUGAUUAUAUGUAUGGACAUAAAUUUGUUGAGUCACAUGCUUUAUUUUCUAGCCGUGCUUACAAAUCACUCAAUGUUUAUGUAUUUAGUAUAAUAAAUGUGUCAUAAAAACGUUAUCAGAAUAUACAAACAUUGUGCGGUAAUAAUCCCAUAAUGCGGCAGUCGGAAUGCUUCUGUUUAGAGUUACAACAUAUUUCACUGUAUAUUCUGAUGUCAUGAAAUUCGAAUCGUUAAAGAUAGCAAACCAUUUGUUCUUAAUCAAACAAUGUUUGCAUUGAGAUAACUGUGAACUAAAUGUCCAAGGAAUACCUUAAAAACUGAAUGUAAUCUACUGUACUGCCUUACAAUAUAACUCAUGUUUUACUAUUACUUAACCAUUAAAGGAAUUCUGAUUUCUUGACUUUUAAUUAUCUAGUGCUCUGAAUGACAUACUGUAAUGUUGGAGAUCAACCUUUAGCAAAUUGAGGCUUAAAGUUGUGAGGUGACCGAAGUAUAGUAGCAACAGAUCUUUUCCAUAUUGUGACUUAUGUUCAAGUGUAACGGAUUACUGAAAAAGAAAAAUUUUACGUAGGUUGGGAAAAAUGUAGGUCUGUUUAUUGCUUGUUAAUUAGAUUUUUAAGUGGACUAAAUGCUUGGAGAAAUCCAGCAUAUAUCACAGAGAAGAAAACUGAGUUAUGACAUUUUGAUUGAGGCCAGGAUAAUAACAUGCAUUUACAAAUUAGAAUUUUCAGUUCGUUAAUUUAAAAAGAACAAUUUUAACCAUAAAAGAAAAUGUCAUCAACCCAUUCCAAACCAGUUCAACUUCCUUUCUUCUGUGGAACAGCAAAAGGAAAUUCUGGAGGCUGUGCUGAGCAUUCAUUUUGAUGUAAUUGCAAUGAAUGCAGAUGGAUGUUUUCAAGCCUUAGAAAUGACACAGAGCGCAAUAAAAUAAUCAUAAAAGUUACUUGUGCAUUAUAUCCAAAGUGUUCAGAAGUUAUAAAAAGCCUUUGUGUGAGAAAGAGACUGAAGUUUAAGUUUUUUUCACCAAUGUUUCUCUGCUGUGACCAAAUUGAGUCAGCGAGUUUAUCUCGAGUCUGAUUCAUAAAUCAUUAAGACAGGUUUUAUGAACUGGAUCAACGGAGUGAUUGAAAAGAUGUGACUCACAAGAAUGAUUCGUUCACAAAUUGGACUUAUUUCACCAAUUAUAAGAAAAUCUUGAGUGAAUGUUCACUUAAAUUUCUUACAAAGCUAUCACAUGACUUCAGAAGACUUUGAAUAUAGGGCAUGAGUUGUAUGAACCACUUUGAUGAUGUCUUUGUGUUCUUUUUGCCCCUCGAAACUUCCAUUCCUCAUUUAGUAUGCAUGGGGAAACAGCUCCCCUUACUAUCGAAAUGCCUUUUUUGUGUACCACAGAAGAAAGAAAAUCAUAUAUGAACAAAACACCUUGAGGGUGAGUAAAUGAUGACAGAAUUUACAUGAUACAUGACUGGAAAAACCCUUUUUUCUUCUCAUCACCAUAAGCUUUGGCUUUGCCCUGUAGUUAUUUUACUGAAUACCUCAUUCAUCAUAUAGGGAGGAAAGUUCAGUCGCAGCGUCAGUCUUCACAUGGUACAGAGUACAAUCAGACCUGCACGGCUGUACCACGAAAAGACAUUUAGACAGACCUUGUGCCUCACAUAACAUUAUGUCAGCGUAAGAGAGGAUUCAGCUCCUCCCAAAGCAGCACACAAACAUUUAAUUUUCCUUUUAUACAAAAUGUUUAAUAAAUAUAACAUUCCAAAAAUAUUGCCAGGAACAAACUAAAAAACUAAUUUACAAUAUGGUCAAAUAUGAAAAUUGCCAUGAUCUCAUAGAAUUUACAAAUGUGAUAAGCUUGCCGGUUUGGUGUUUUAGAGAGCCUUGAUAUAAAAGCGUAACGAAAAGAACACUACAUGUGCACAGCAAAAGAAAUGGACUCCUAAAA